Molecule: ribosomal RNA, 492 nt
Filed under: uncultured bacterium
Lineage: Bacteria
Description: partial 16S ribosomal RNA
Rfam family: Bacterial small subunit ribosomal RNA
Source: RNAcentral
AGUGAACGCUGGCGGUAGGCCUAACACAUGCAAGUCGAACGGCAGCACAGUAAGAGCUUGCUCUUACGGGUGGCGAGUGGCGGACGGGUGAGGAAUACAUCGGAAUCUACUUUUUCGUGGGGGAUAACGUAGGGAAACUUACGCUAAUACCGCAUACGACCUACGGGUGAAAGCAGGGGAUCUUCGGACCUUGCGCGAUUGAAUGAGCCGAUGUCGGAUUAGCUAGUUGGCGGGGUAAAGGCCCACCAAGGCGACGAUCCGUAGCUGGUCUGAGAGGAUGAUCAGCGACACUGGAACUGAGACACGGUCCAGACUCCUACGGGAGGCAGCAGUGGGGAAUAUUGGACAAUGGGCGCAAGCCUGAUCCAGCCAUACCGCGUGGGUGAAGAAGGCCUUCGGGUUGUAAAGCCCUUUUGUUGGGAAAGAAAAGCAGCAGGUUAAUACCCCGCUGUUCCGACGGUACCCAAAGAAUAAGCACCGGCUAACUUCGUG